CCUACGGGUGGCUGCAGUGGGGAAUAUUGGACAAUGGGCGAAAGCCUGAUCCAGCCAUGCCGCGUGUGUGAAGAAGGCCUUCGGGUUGUAAAGCACUUUCAGUGGGGAAGAAAGCCUUGGGGCUAAUACCCUCGAGGAAGGACAUCACCCACAGAAGAAGCACCGGCUAACUCCGUGCCAGCAGCCGCGGUAAUACGGAGGGUGCGAGCGUUAAUCGGAAUUACUGGGCGUAAAGCGCGCGUAGGCGGUCUGAUAAGCCGGUUGUGAAAGCCCCGGGCUCAACCUGGGAACGGCAUCCGGAACUGUCAGGCUAGAGUGCAGGAGAGGAAGGUAGAAUUCCCGGUGUAGCGGUGAAAUGCGUAGAGAUCGGGAGGAAUACCGGUGGCGAAGGCGGCCUUCUGGACUGACACUGACGCUGAGGUGCGAAAGCGUGGGUAGCAAACAGGAUUAGAUACCCCAGUAGUC
This 465-nucleotide ribosomal RNA is filed under the name Vreelandella stevensii. Its description in RNAcentral is "partial 16S ribosomal RNA". It matches the Rfam family "Bacterial small subunit ribosomal RNA", at positions 338 to 795 of the family's 1533-position model. Lineage: Bacteria; Pseudomonadati; Pseudomonadota; Gammaproteobacteria; Oceanospirillales; Halomonadaceae. The record is from RNAcentral.